RNAcentral lists this long non-coding RNA (1197 nucleotides) under Oncorhynchus mykiss (rainbow trout). Its description in RNAcentral is "lncRNA (ENSOMYG00000010256.2)". The record is from RNAcentral. Lineage: Eukaryota; Metazoa; Chordata; Actinopteri; Salmoniformes; Salmonidae.
AUGCCUCUCCUUAAUGUCAAUAUGUCUUGUCCAUUGCUGUUCUGGUUAGUGUUUAUUGGCUUAUUUCACUGUAGAGCCUCUAGUCCUGCUCACUAUACCUUAUCCAACCUAUUAGUUCCACCACCCACACAUGCAAUGACAUCUCCUGGUUUCAAUGAUGUUUCUAGAGACAAUAUCUCUCUCUUCAUCACUCAAUACCUAGGUUUACCUCCACUGUAUUCACAUCCUACCUUACCUUUGUCUGUACAUUAUACCUUGAUGCUAUUUUAUCGCCCCCAGAAACCUCCUUUUACUCUCUGUUCCAGACGUUCUAGACGACCAAUUCUUAUUGCUUUUAGUCACACCCUUAUUCUACUCCUCCUAUGUUCCUCUGGCGAUGUAGAGGUGAAUCCAGGCCCUGCAGUGCCUAGCUCCACUCCUAUUCCCCAGGCGCUCUCUUUUGACGACUUCUGUAACCGUAAUAGCCUUGGUUUCAUGCAUGUUAACAUUAGAAGCCUCCUCCCUAAGUUUGUUCUAUUCACUGCUUUAGCACACUCUGCCAACCCGGAUGUUCUAGCUGUGUCUGAAUCCUGGCUUAGGAAGACCACCAAAAAUUCAGACAUUUUAAUUCCAAACUACAACAUUUUCAGACAAGAUAGAACUGCCAAAGGGGGCGGUGUUGCAAUCUACUGCAAAGAUAGCCUGCAGAGUUCUGUCCUAUUAUCCAGGUCUGUACCCAAACAAUUUGAACUUCUACUUUUAAAAAUCCACCUCUCUAAAAACAAGUCUCUCACCGUUGCCGCCUGCUAUAGACCACCCUCUGCCCCCAGCUGUGCUCUGGACACCAUAUGUGAACUGAUUGCCCCCCAUCUAUCUUCAGAGCUCGUGCUGCUAGGCGACCUAAACUGGAACAUGCUUAACACCCCAGCCAUCCUACAAUCUAAACUUGAUGCCCUCAAUCUCACACAAAUUAUCAAUGAACCUACCAGGUACCUCCCCAAAGCCUUAAACACGGGCACCCUCAUAGAUAUCAUCCUAACCAACUUCCCCUCUAAAUACACCUCUGCUGUCUUCAACCAAGAUCUCAGCGAUCACUGCCUCAUUGCCUGCAUCCGUAAUGGGUCAGCGGUCAAACGACCUCCUCUCAUCACUGUAAAAACACUUCAGCGAGCAGGCCUUUCUAAUCGACCUGGCCGGGGUAUCCUGGAAGGAUAUUGA